GACGAACGCUGGCGGCGCGCUUAACACAUGCCAGUCGAACGGAAAGGCCUGCUUUCCCUUGUGGAUUGCGGGUACUCGAGUGGCGAACGGGUGAGUAACACGUGAGUGAUCUGCCCCCAACUUGGGUAUAAGCCUGGGAAACUGGGUCUAAUUCCCGAUAGGACUGCAGGGUGGUGCCUGUGGUGGAAAACGAUUUUCUAGUGGUUGGGGAUGAGCUCGCGGCCUAUCAGCUUGUUGGUGGGGUAAUGGCCUACCAAGGCGGCGACGGGUAGCCGGCCUGGGAGGGUGGACGGCCACAUUGGGACUGAGAUACGGCCCAGACUCCUACGGGAGGCAGCAGUGGGGAAUAUUGCACAAUGGGCGGAAGCCUGAUGCAGCGACGCCGCGGGGGGGAUGACGGCCUUCGGGUUGUAAACUCCUUUCGACCGCGAGGAAGCCACCUGGUUGGAAGGGUGGUGACGGUAGUGGUAGAAGAAGCACCGGCUAACUACGUG
This 494-nucleotide ribosomal RNA is filed under the name uncultured bacterium. RNAcentral's name for it is "partial 16S ribosomal RNA". It matches the Rfam family "Bacterial small subunit ribosomal RNA", at positions 28 to 507 of the family's 1533-position model. The record is from RNAcentral.